AGAGAGAGAGAGAGAGAGAGAGAGAGAGAGAGAGAGAGAGAAGAGUGAGGAGCACCAGGAGUUGGUUUGAGAAGGAACCAGUGUGUUAUUAUUAAUAAAGCACUAAAAAAAAAGUGAGCACAUCAAAGCAAACAGGGGCUAUG
Thalassophryne amazonica is the source of this 143-nucleotide long non-coding RNA. RefSeq lists it as uncharacterized. The record is from RefSeq and is a predicted model, not a curated record. NCBI's taxonomy places the organism in Eukaryota, Metazoa, Chordata, Actinopteri, Batrachoidiformes, Batrachoididae. The transcript has 2 exons.